ACGGAAGGCAGCAGUGGGGAAUAUUGCACAAUGGGGGGAACCCUGAUGCAGCGAUGCCGCGUGGAGGAAGAAGGUUUUCGGAUUGUAAACUCCUGUCUUAAAGGACGAUAAUGACGGUACUUUAGGAGAAAGCUCCGGCUAACUACGUGCCAGCAGCCGCGGUAAUACGUAGGGAGCGAGCGUUGUCCGGAAUUACUGGGUGUAAAGGGAGCGUAGGCGGGAUUGCAAGUCAGAUGUGAAAACUAUGGGCUUAACCCAUAGACUGCAUUUGAAACUGUAGUUCUUGAGUGAAGUAGAGGUAAGCGGAAUUCCUGGUGUAGCGGUGAAAUGCGUAGAUAUCAGGAGGAACACCGGUGGCGAAGGCGGCUUACUGGGCUUUUACUGACGCUGAGGCUCGAAAGCGUGGGGAGCAAACAGGAUUAGAUACCCUGGUA
Molecule: ribosomal RNA, 434 nt
Filed under: uncultured Ruminococcus sp.
Lineage: Bacteria; Bacillati; Bacillota; Clostridia; Eubacteriales; Oscillospiraceae
Description: bacterial SSU rRNA
Rfam family: Bacterial small subunit ribosomal RNA
Source: RNAcentral